CGCGGAGCCGCUGGGCAGCCGCGCUUCCACCGCAGUCCUUCCCCGGUCCCGACUCCUGCGCCCGCUGAUCGGCCUCCAGCCUUUCCGUCUCCCGUCCGAGGAGCGCCUCGGAAACGGGAGAAACGUCAGAGUAAAGGCUGGAGACGGGGGGUUUCAAAGAGCGCGGUUUCCUGACAGACGAACGCGCAGGGAACGGGCUGCUGCGGGAAAUCCUGCCGCGGCCUCGGGAGCGCCGGGCGGCCCGGCUCGGCGGACGGGGAUGGACGCACAAAUGGACGGAUGGGUGGAUGAGCGUUGCCAGCGAGCAGUGAUGUCGACAAUAAUUAUGUAGAUACGGGCUCUGGUACUACAAAAUCUAUAAUGAAGGGCAUCUAAUUUUAAUGGAACAGGAUUGGGCCCACAAUCCCUGAUUCUCUUUUAAACAUCAGCCUAAACAUGAAAUUUUUGAAGUGGAAAAG
Molecule: long non-coding RNA, 458 nt
Filed under: Chloebia gouldiae (Gouldian finch)
Lineage: Eukaryota; Metazoa; Chordata; Aves; Passeriformes; Passeridae
Description: Erythrura gouldiae (Gouldian finch) lncRNA (ENSEGOG00005008895.1)
Source: RNAcentral